GCUCAGAUUGAACGCUGGCGGCAUGCUUUACACAUGCAAGUCGAACGGCAGCACAGGGAGCUUGCUCCUGGGUGGCGAGUGGCGCACGGGUGAGUAAUACAUCGGAACGUGUCCUAUCGUGGGGGAUAACUGAUCGAAAGAUCAGCUAAUACCGCAUAAGACCUGAGGGUGAAAGUGGGGGAUCGCAAGACCUCACGCGAUUGGAGCGGCCGAUGCCCGAUUAGCUAGUUGGUGAGGUAAAGGCUCACCAAGGCGACGAUCGGUAGCUGGUCUGAGAGGACGACCAGCCACACUGGGACUGAGACACGGCCCAGACUCCUACGGGAGGCAGCAGUA
RNAcentral lists this ribosomal RNA (336 nucleotides) under uncultured bacterium. Its description in RNAcentral is "bacterial SSU rRNA". It matches the Rfam family "Bacterial small subunit ribosomal RNA", at positions 22 to 356 of the family's 1533-position model. The record is from RNAcentral.